CAGGGCAGGGCAGUUACCAAAAUGUUCAACACUGCUGCAACUGUCUACAGUCACAGGCAGGAAUAUCGCUCUCUUUCUUCAGACAAUUGCAAAGCUAUUGGAGUAAUUUAGUCUUCAUCCCCACUUGACUCAUUUUGUCUUCUGGGUAGCUUAGGAAACCUGAUUGGUGUUAUCAAGCCAUUUUGAUAAUAACCGAGAGGAUGCAGCCUACAGACUGUGAACAUCAGAUGGGGUUAGACUUCAGCAUCUCUACGAGCCACGACGGAAACGUGCAGUGACAUCCUACAAGUUCUACGCGAAUCAUCUUUUGUUACUGUUGGUAAUAUGUUUUGUUAGUUAAUCCGUUGGCUGCCACGCCUUUGUUUCCCCCAUGUUAGCUCCUUAGCACGGGCCGCACUGUUUGGUCUCUUGGUCCUAUGUGCCUUGGGAUCGAACAGCUGCACCUGCCCAAGAUUCGCCGAAAGGCCCUGUUAGGCAAUGCACCAUAGGGACUUCCCCCCUUGUCGAUACGGUGAUGGAUUCUAGAGGUUGUGCAUUCCAUCUUCUCCUGUCACCGUGUCA
Molecule: long non-coding RNA, 561 nt
Organism: Daphnia pulicaria
Lineage: Eukaryota; Metazoa; Arthropoda; Branchiopoda; Diplostraca; Daphniidae
Exons: 3
Source: RefSeq, a predicted model, not a curated record